RNAcentral lists this ribosomal RNA (359 nucleotides) under uncultured eukaryote. RNAcentral describes it as "bacterial SSU rRNA". It matches the Rfam family "Eukaryotic small subunit ribosomal RNA", at positions 592 to 957 of the family's 1831-position model. The record is from RNAcentral.
CAAUAGCGUAUAUUAAAGUUGUUGCGGUUAAAAGCUCGUAGUUGAAUUUCUGCUUCGGGAAACCUUGUCAUUCAUUUGUUUGAUGAGCGUUUUCCUUAGCAUUCUUCUGGGAUUUGGCAUGCGCUUAAUUGUGCUACGCCGUCUCGGGACAUAUUACUUUGAGGAAAUUAGAGUGUUUCAAGCAAGCAUAAUGCUUUGAAUAUAAUAGCAUGGAAUAAUGUUAUAAGGCUUUUGUCCUAUAUUGUUGGUUUUAUGGACUUAAGUAAUGAUUAAUAGGGAUAGUCGGGGGGCAUUUGUACUUAACUGUCAGAGGUGAAAUUCUUGGAUUUGUUAAAGACAAACUAUUGCGAAAGCAUUUU